RNAcentral lists this ribosomal RNA (289 nucleotides) under Bacillus sp. Vr2. Its description in RNAcentral is "partial 16S ribosomal RNA". It matches the Rfam family "Bacterial small subunit ribosomal RNA", at positions 50 to 325 of the family's 1533-position model. Lineage: Bacteria; Bacillati; Bacillota; Bacilli; Caryophanales; Bacillaceae. The record is from RNAcentral.
CUGCUAUACAUGCAGUCGAGCGGACAGAAGGGAGCUUGCUCCCGGAUGUUAGCGGCGGACGGGUGAGUAACACGUGGGUAACCUGCCUGUAAGACUGGGAUAACUCCGGGAAACCGGAGCUAAUACCGGAUAGUUCCUUGAACCGCAUGGUUCAAGGAUGAAAGACGGUUUCCCCCUGUCACUUACAGAUGGACCCGCGGCGCAUUAGCUAGUUGGUGGGGUAAUGGCUCACCAAGGCGACGAUGCGUAGCCGACCUGAGAGGAUGAUCCGCACGACUGGGUUGUAGAC